Hydra vulgaris (swiftwater hydra) is the source of this 453-nucleotide long non-coding RNA. RefSeq lists it as uncharacterized. The record is from RefSeq and is a predicted model, not a curated record. NCBI's taxonomy places the organism in Eukaryota, Metazoa, Cnidaria, Hydrozoa, Anthoathecata, Hydridae.
AAAAAAUUAAAUCCACGAGACUUGGGCAACUCCGAGAGUUGAUAAAAGCGCAACCCAUGGUAACAGAACAAAAAGUUGGACUGACCAUUUUAAAAUCAAAAAAUAACCAUCAAAAAAUUUAAAUUUCACUAUUUGCUUUACAUUUUUGAGUUCAGCACCCUCAAAAAUGGUCAGGUACCCAUUUUUAGCCACAUUCAUCCACUAGAUUUUAAACUAUUCAACUGCAAAAUCCAUAAUGGCGGACUUGGCAAAAAAAGAAACGUUUUAGGCUGAAUUUCUAAACGUCAUAACUUUUGAACAAUUUGGAUUUGAGUUGGUUUGUGUUGAUUUAUGAUUAGCAAUAGAAAACAUAAUACUUCAACAAAUGUUAGUUUUUUAUACAUAAAAGUUAUGAAAAAUCUCCUAUGAAAUGGUUCAUCUAAAUCUAAUUCCCUGGAGGUUGCCUGUUAAAAA